Molecule: non-coding RNA, 2391 nt
Organism: Oryctolagus cuniculus (rabbit)
Lineage: Eukaryota; Metazoa; Chordata; Mammalia; Lagomorpha; Leporidae
Source: RefSeq, a predicted model, not a curated record
UGCUGGUUUCUUCCUCCAAUGGCAGCAAUAUCCAGCUGGGCCAAGCUGAAGCCAGGAAUCAGGAACUCUCUCUGGGUCUCUCACAUGGGUGGCAGGAACUCGAGUCUUUAAGUGAUUACCCACUACUUCCCAGAUCUAGUAGCAGGGAACUAGAUCAGAAGCAGCACAGCCAGGAUUCUAACCAGCACUCUGAUAAUGAGAAGCUAGCUUUGCAAGAGAUGAGUUAACCUGCUGUGCCAUGACACCUGCCCCGCUGCAAACUUCGGAAACCCUCCUUGGCUUCCCCUCCCGACUGAUUCUGUGUGGAUUUCCUCUCUCUCUGGUGAAGACUGGAAAUUAUCUUCACAUAACCAACUUGGGCAAUUAUAAGUUUUUAGUAUUUAAGGAGAAGUCCAGUUCCUGUUACUCCAUCGUGGAUGUGUGUCCAUUUUACUGCAUGCAGAUUAUAUGUCAAUAACUAUGAUGAUGCACCCUGUCCAUGAGACUGCACCAUAUACCUGGACUCUAAGCCCCCUGCUCAUGUGCCUGAGAAAGCAGCAGAACAUGGCCCAAGUAAUUGGAUCCCUGACACUCAAAUGAGAGAUGUGGAUGGAGUUCUAGACUCCUGACUUUGACCAGAGCAUGGCCAGUUGGGAAAUAUACAGCUCUCUGCUAUGGCCUGGGAAAGCAGUAGAAGAUGGCUCAAGUCCUUGGGCCUCUGCACUCACGUGGGAGACCUGGAAGAAGCUGCUGACUCCUGGCUUUGAAUCAGCGCAGCUCUGGCUGUGGCCACCAUUUAGGGGAGUGAACCAGAGGAUGGAAGACCUCUCUCUCUGUCUCUCCCUCUCUCUGUAACUCUGUCCUUCAAAUAAAUAAAGUAAAUCUUUUUUUAAAAAAAGUGAAUGUGCCUGCUUAUUUCUUAAGAUCCUACAUUCCAUGCUCUUAAGCCUGUCCCCUGCCCCCAUUUUAUCUAGGACCCUCUCCUUGAACUUGGAGGGGUCCUGUGACUUGUUUUUGACCAGAGAAUGUGGCGGAAAUCAUGUGAUACCAGUCCCAGGCUAAACCUUGACAAGACCUAGGGAAUUCUCUAGGGCAAGCUAGCUAUCAUGUAAGAGGUCAAGCUACACAGAGAUGACUAUGCUGUGAGGAAGGUCAAGUUAGCCACACAGAGAGGCCAUGUGGAGAGAGGGAUGCCCAGCCAGCCGUCAGCCAGUCCAGUUGACACCAGGCAUAUGAAUGAAGCAGACUUCUUAGACAUGCAGCUGAGUCGUUCUUUUCCAUGAUGCCAGCUCUUACCACCACCUGACUGCAAGUGAUUGACAGACGUCCUGUGAAAUCUUCCCAACCCAAUCCAGCCCACCUACAGAAAAAUUGCUGCUUUAAGCCACUCAGUUUUGAAACUGUGACACAGCAGUACAUAGCUAUAGUGGAAAGCAAACUGAGACCAUGGAGGCUAGGUGAGCUCCCCAAGGGCAAACACUGUUUAUGAGAGAACCAGGACGAGAGCAAGAGCAACAUUCCUGGAUUUCUGCGCCAGUGUACUUGAGGCCAAGAGUCUCAGAUUUCCUUGGGUACCAGCAUCACCUAAGGAGGAGGUUGCUAAACUCAGAAUCCUGGGCUCCACUCAGAUAUUCUAAUUCAACAGAUUUGAUCAUUUACAUUUCUAACAAGCUCCCAGGGGAUGUUGAUAACCUCAGUCUGCUGACCCCACUUUGAGUAGCCCUGCCUUGAACCAGGUCUGAGCUGAUCUCCCAGCACAGUUAGGAAAACAUUAGCAUCUGCUGGUUUAUUGUUGUGCACCCUUACAAUUCUGGGUUUGUUGCAUUUCCAGGUAAGUAAUUGAAAUGCCCACAGUGACAGGCCUUAUUCAAGAAGUGCCCAAUUGCAGCUGAGCCCAGUUUUAGCUUCUCCUGCUGUAGACUGAAGCCCAUAUGGUCUGAGAGUUAGACACCCUUAUCUGAGCUCUGCUUUCUCUAGGCAUGACAGUGUGGGUUUUGUAACCUUGUUACCAGAAGCAAUUAGGGGAAUCAUCCACAUUUUCAGAUCCAUUUCCCGUGGAGAUACACGUUAGGAAUCUCCCACAGUGAAUUUAAUUAGCAGAAAACGUGGCUCAGCCAGCGACCUGCCGUGCAGAUAAGAGUCGUGACUGCCCAGCGAUAGCGGCUCCCUUUUCUUAAAAAAUGACAAGUUUCCUAAAAGGUGGUGAUGAGACCCAGCCAGACAUCAGGUGGAACUCUCUGCACAGCCCAGUUUCAUGUAACCAAGCAACUCACACUUCUUGCUUCUAUUCAAUAUCAAGAACUCACCUAGGCAGAGAUGCUGGCCAGAAAGGAUAAUGGCUUGCCAAUGACGGCGCUAGGCAUUUCCCCAAUGUACCUGGGCCAUGUUGGCUUCUGGUGUAUUUCUGCAGAU